RNAcentral lists this ribosomal RNA (497 nucleotides) under uncultured bacterium. RNAcentral's name for it is "partial 16S ribosomal RNA". It matches the Rfam family "Bacterial small subunit ribosomal RNA", at positions 28 to 507 of the family's 1533-position model. The record is from RNAcentral.
GAUGAACGCUGGCGGCGUGCCUAAUACAUGCAAGUCGAGCGAACAGACGAGGAGCUUGCUCCUCUGACGUUAGCGGCGGACGGGUGAGUAACACGUGGAUAACCUACCUAUAAGACUGGGAUAACUUCGGGAAACCGGAGCUAAUACCGGAUAAUAUAUUGAACCGCAUGGUUCAAUAGUGAAAGACGGUUUUGCCGUCACUUAUAGAUGGAUCCGCGCCGCAUUAGCUAGUUGGUAAGGUAACGGCUUACCAAGGCAACCAUGCGUAGCCGACCUGAGAGGGUGAUCGGCCACACUGGAACUGAGACACGGUCCAGACUCCUACGGGAGGCAGCAGUAGGGAAUCUUCCGCAAUGGGCGAAAGCCUGACGGAGCAACGCCGCGUGAGUGAUGAAGGUCUUCGGAUCGUAAAACUCUGUUAUUAGGGAAGAACAAAUGUGUAAGUAACUAUGCACGUCUUGACGGUACCUAAUCAGAAAGCCACGGCUAACUACGUG